UACGUAGGUGGCAAGCGUUGUCCGGAUUUAUUGGGUUUAAAGGGUGCGUAGGCGGCCCUGUAAGUCAGUGCUGAAAUAUCCCGGCUUAACCGGGAGGGUGGCAUUGAUACUGCAGGGCUUGAGUAAAGUUGAGGUAGGCGGAAUUGACGGUGUAGCGGUGAAAUGCUUAGAUAUCGUCAAGAACACCGAUCGUGUAGACAGCUUACUAAGCUUUAACUGACGCUGAGGCACGAAAGUGUGGGGAUCAAACAGG
This 253-nucleotide ribosomal RNA is filed under the name uncultured bacterium. Its description in RNAcentral is "partial 16S ribosomal RNA". It matches the Rfam family "Bacterial small subunit ribosomal RNA", at positions 524 to 776 of the family's 1533-position model. The record is from RNAcentral.